This 253-nucleotide ribosomal RNA is filed under the name uncultured bacterium. Its description in RNAcentral is "partial 16S ribosomal RNA". It matches the Rfam family "Bacterial small subunit ribosomal RNA", at positions 524 to 776 of the family's 1533-position model. The record is from RNAcentral.
UACAGAGGGUGCAAGCGUUAAUCGGAUUUACUGGGCGUAAAGCGUGUGUAGGUGGUUGUUCAAGUCGGUUGUGAAAUCCCCGGGCUCAACCUGGGAAUUGCUUCCGAGACUGAGCGACUAGAGUACGGUAGAGGGCGGUGGAAUUUCCGGUGUAGCGGUGAAAUGCGUAGAUAUCGGAAGGAACACCAAUGGCGAAGGCAGCCGCCUGGGCCUGUACUGACACUGAGACACGAAAGCGUGGGGAUCAAACAGG